UACACUCCUACGGGAGGCAGCAGUGGGGAAUUUUGGACAAUGGGCGAAAGCCUGAUCCAGCAAUGCCGCGUGAGUGAAGAAGGCCUUCGGGUUGUAAAGCUCUUUUGUCAGGGAAGAAACGGUGAGAGCUAAUAUCUCUUGCUAAUGACGGUACCUGAAGAAUAAGCACCGGCUAACUACGUGCCAGCAGCCGCGGUAAUACGUAGGGUGCAAGCGUUAAUCGGAAUUACUGGGCGUCAAGCGUGCGCAGGCGGUUUUGUAAGUCUGAUGUGAAAUCCCCGGGCUCAACCUGGGAAUUGCAUUGGAGACUGCAAGGCUAGAAUCUGGCAGAGGGGGGUAGAAUUCCACGUGUAGCAGUGAAAUGCGUAGAUAUGUGGAGGAACACCGAUGGCGAAGGCAGCCCCCUGGGUCAAGAUUGACGCUCAUGCACGAAAGCGUGGGGAGCAAACAGGAUUAGAAACCCUUGUAGUCCCAUGAU
This 478-nucleotide ribosomal RNA is filed under the name uncultured organism. RNAcentral's name for it is "partial 16S ribosomal RNA". It matches the Rfam family "Bacterial small subunit ribosomal RNA", at positions 332 to 801 of the family's 1533-position model. The record is from RNAcentral.